Molecule: ribosomal RNA, 138 nt
Filed under: uncultured eukaryote
Lineage: Eukaryota
Description: partial 18S ribosomal RNA
Rfam family: Eukaryotic small subunit ribosomal RNA
Source: RNAcentral
UGGUGGAGUGAUUUGUCUGCUUAAUUGCGAUAACGAACGAGACCUUAACCUGCUAAAUAGCCCGUGCCGCUUUGGCGGCUCGCUGGCUUCUUAGAGGGACUAUCGGCUCAAGCCGAUGGAAGUUUGUAGGCAAUAACA